ACCUCAGUAGUUUAAAUAAAAACACUGGUCUUGUAAACCAGAAAUAGGAACAACUUCUAAGGUG
This 64-nucleotide transfer RNA is filed under the name Daphnia tibetana. RNAcentral's name for it is "tRNA-Thr". It matches the Rfam family "tRNA". From Rfam's summary of the family: Transfer RNA (tRNA) molecules are approximately 80 nucleotides in length. Their secondary structure includes four short double-helical elements and three loops (D, anti-codon, and T loops). The record is from RNAcentral. Lineage: Eukaryota; Metazoa; Arthropoda; Branchiopoda; Diplostraca; Daphniidae.